This 227-nucleotide long non-coding RNA is filed under the name Mus musculus (house mouse). Its description in RNAcentral is "long non-coding RNA chr11:107681806-107682033". The record is from RNAcentral. Lineage: Eukaryota; Metazoa; Chordata; Mammalia; Rodentia; Muridae.
GGACUCCUGCGGUGCUUCCGGUGGGAAGCUGUGCCCCAUCUCUGUCUCCCCAAAUGCUGAUAUCUUGGGGUCUUGUCUGGAAUCUGUCUGAAGCAUGGUUGAUUCACUUGAAAUGAUGCUAUUCCAGUGUCUAUGCUCAAACUGUAUCUAUCAUGUCUCCAUGUUAGUGUAGACAGGUUAGAGCUUUGGUCCUUGAGUAGAUAAGGUCGAUGACUCUGUUUAAUUGU